Molecule: ribosomal RNA, 116 nt
Filed under: Cyanobacteria bacterium K_Offshore_surface_m2_239
Lineage: Bacteria; Bacillati; Cyanobacteriota
Description: partial 16S ribosomal RNA
Rfam family: Bacterial small subunit ribosomal RNA
Source: RNAcentral
ACAACGGAGAGUUUGAUCCUGGCUCAGGAUGAACGCUGGCGGCGUGCUUAACACAUGCAAGUCGAACGAACCUUCGGGUUAGUGGCGGACGGGUGAGUAACGCGUGGGAAUCUGCC